RNAcentral lists this ribosomal RNA (504 nucleotides) under uncultured bacterium. RNAcentral describes it as "bacterial SSU rRNA". It matches the Rfam family "Bacterial small subunit ribosomal RNA", at positions 15 to 507 of the family's 1533-position model. The record is from RNAcentral.
GAUCCUGGCUCAGGAUGAACGCUAGCUACAGGCUUAACACAUGCAAGUCGAGGGGAAACGAUAUUGGAAGCUUGCUUCCGAUAGGCGUCGACCGGCGCACGGGUGAGUAACGCGUAUCCAACCUGCCCACCACUUGGGGAUAACCUUGCGAAAGUAAGACUAAUACCUCAUGGCCUCCGAGCUUGACAUCAACCUUGGAGUAAAGAUUCAUUGCCGUGGGAUGGGGAUGCGUCUGAUUAGCUUGUUGGCGGGGCAACGGCCCACCAAGGCUACGAUCAGUAGGGGUUCUGAGAGGAAGGUCCCCCACAUUGGAACUGAGACACGGUCCAAACUCCUACGGGAGGCAGCAGUGAGGAAUAUUGGUCAAUGGACGGAAGUCUGAACCAGCCAAGUAGCGUGCAGGAAGACGGCCCUAUGGGUUGUAAACUGCUUUUAUGUGGGAAUAAAGUGAGGGACGUGUCCCUUUUGUAGGUACCACAUGAAUAAGGACCGGCUAAUUCCGUG